GCCAACACCUAUUCCUAUAAGUAAUACGACUGUAAUCAUAAAACUGAUAGGACUUAAAUAACUAAGUAAAUACUGGCGUAUACCUGACAUAACAGAUCCAAGUACAGAACAAAUUGCAGCACCGACGGCCUUAGCACCACAACAUGCCAAACCUAAACAAAUGUAUACUACAAAAACCGUUAUUUAAAAACGGCAAUGAAUUUAAAUGCUUACCCAUGAGACCGCAAAGACAGCCCAUCAUAAAUGUUUUGCAGUUUCGUGUGCUACAAUCCUAUACACUUAGAAUAAAAAAUUCUGGUGUAUGUUGGCGAUACUGAAAUAUUACCGCAGAGAUAAUUGAAUAUGGGCACUGCGGGCAAGGAUGUACCUCAACUGAAGCAAAAGCGGAAAAUGUCUUAAAGAGCACAGCUGGUGGUGGUACGCCUGUAAUGCCCUAUACCAUCCUUGCCCCCCCCUGGAGCGCCCACAAAGUUACACAGUAUAAUACAAAUACAAUCGACCCUUAGACAGGGACAUGAUACGCUAUUUUUAGUUUCAAUCUGUGGCAUUGUAUCAUAUUUCUGAACCACGCUUCCAAUAAAAAAUAUGAAAGAGA
This is a long non-coding RNA of Daphnia magna, 595 nucleotides long. RefSeq lists it as uncharacterized. The transcript has 2 exons. NCBI's taxonomy places the organism in Eukaryota, Metazoa, Arthropoda, Branchiopoda, Diplostraca, Daphniidae. The record is from RefSeq and is a predicted model, not a curated record.